GCCGAGGUAGCUCAGUUGGUAGAGCACGUCACUGAAAAUGACGGUGUCCCCAGUUCAAGUCUGGGCCUCGGCA
RNAcentral lists this transfer RNA (73 nucleotides) under Anaerolineae bacterium. It matches the Rfam family "tRNA". From Rfam's summary of the family: Transfer RNA (tRNA) molecules are approximately 80 nucleotides in length. Their secondary structure includes four short double-helical elements and three loops (D, anti-codon, and T loops). The record is from Rfam by way of RNAcentral. Lineage: Bacteria; Bacillati; Chloroflexota; Anaerolineae.